AACGAACGCUGGCGGCAUGCCUAACACAUGCAAGUCGAACGAGACCUUCGGGUCUAGUGGCGCACGGGUGCGUAACGCGUGGGAACCUGCCCUUAGGUUCGGAAUAGCUCCCCGAAAGGGGUGCUAAUACCGGAUAAUGUCUUCGGACCAAAGAUUUAUCGCCUUUGGAUGGGCCCGCGUUGGAUUAGCUAGUUGGUAGGGUAAAAGCCUACCAAGGCGACGAUCCAUAGCUGGUCUGAGAGGAUGAUCAGCCACACUGGGACUGAGACACGGCCCAGACUCCUACGGGAGGCAGCAGUGGGGAAUAUUGGACAAUGGGCGAAAGCCUGAUCCAGCAAUGCCGCGUGAGUGAUGAAGGCCUUAGGGUUGUAAAGCUCUUUUACCCGGGAUGGUAAUGACAGUACCGGGAGAAUAAGCGCCGGCUAACUCCGUG
RNAcentral lists this ribosomal RNA (433 nucleotides) under uncultured bacterium. RNAcentral's name for it is "partial 16S ribosomal RNA". It matches the Rfam family "Bacterial small subunit ribosomal RNA", at positions 29 to 507 of the family's 1533-position model. The record is from RNAcentral.